RNAcentral lists this transfer RNA (85 nucleotides) under Caudoviricetes sp. RNAcentral's name for it is "tRNA-Ser". It matches the Rfam family "tRNA". Rfam says of the family: Transfer RNA (tRNA) molecules are approximately 80 nucleotides in length. Their secondary structure includes four short double-helical elements and three loops (D, anti-codon, and T loops). Further hydrogen bonds mediate the characteristic L-shaped molecular structure. tRNAs have two regions of fundamental functional importance: the anti-codon, which is responsible for specific mRNA codon recognition, and the 3' end, to which the tRNAs corresponding amino acid is attached (by aminoacyl-tRNA synthetases). tRNAs cope with the degeneracy of the genetic code in two manners: having more than one tRNA (with a specific anti-codon) for a particular amino acid; and 'wobble' base-pairing, i.e. permitting non-standard base-pairing at the 3rd anti-codon position. The record is from RNAcentral. Lineage: Duplodnaviria; Heunggongvirae; Uroviricota; Caudoviricetes.
GGCAGUGUGUCCGAGUGGUUUAAGGAAAUAGUCUUGAAAACUAUCGAUGGUAAAACAUCCGUGGGUUCGAAACCCACCACUGUCG